AAUUUUGUUUUUGUUUAGAUAGCAUUUUCCUAAAUGCUGAAUUUCCUAAAUCUAAAUAGUUUGUUUGGCAAGUGUGGUGGCUCACGCCUGUAAUCCCAACACUUUGGGAGGCCGAGGCAGGCAUAUCACCUGAGGUCAGGAGUUCAAGACCAGCCUGGCCAACAUGGUGAAACCACGUCUCUAUUAAAAAUACAAAAAUUAGCUGAGUGUGGUGGUGCAUGCAUGUAAUCCCUGCUACUUGGGAGGCUGAGGCAGGAGAAUCACUUGAACCCAGGAGGUAGAGGUGGCAGUGAGCUGAGAUCACACCACUGCACUCCAGCCUGGGUGACAAAAAAAAGACUCUGUCUCAAAAAAAAAAGAAAAAAAAAAGUUUGUUUGCAUCCCUCCCUUUCUCGAUAGUUUUUUCCCCUGUGAUUAUUAUUACAAAAUGAACUAUUCAUAGUUAUAGCCUGGUAGUAAUUCAUUUCUGCUGCACCACAGAUUUCUUACUUUCUACCUGGGAAUUUCUGCUGCUUCUGCAUGGGUAGCUUGCAGGUAGGUCUUCAGACAUGAUGGCUCUCACAUACACCUGGAAUUGCAUAGGGCUAACACCUCCAUGACAACUCUUGGGCAGUAGCUGAAAAGACCCAGCAGUUUUUUACUAAGUCUUCAACACCUUAAAUAAAAAAUUCUGAGGUAUAUUUUACACAAUUCCUAAUAUCAUUCCACUGUGAUAACCAGCACAAAUAAGCAAUUUCAAAUUGACAUUCUUUUCUUUUUUUGUUGGAAUCAACUCAGUCCCUCUACUUCAAUUCUCUGGAUAUCUUCCCAGAACAAUUUACCUAUAUAUGACCAGUUGUCUAAGAAUUAUCUUGUUAAGGUGGCCAUAUAGGGGAGGCAAGUUCACACAGUUUGUUAUUAAUGAGAAUUAUCAUGCUAAACCUUACCUGCAAUGCCUAUGCCUCAUAAGCAGAAAUGAGAAGAUGUAA
RNAcentral lists this long non-coding RNA (968 nucleotides) under Macaca nemestrina (pig-tailed macaque). Its description in RNAcentral is "lncRNA (ENSMNEG00000045856.1)". The record is from RNAcentral. Lineage: Eukaryota; Metazoa; Chordata; Mammalia; Primates; Cercopithecidae.